GAUGAACGCUGGCGGCGUGCCUAAUACAUGCAAGUCGAGCGAACAGACGAGGAGCUUGCUCCUCUGACGUUAGCGGCGGACGGGUGAGUAACACGUGGAUAACCUACCUAUAAGACUGGGAUAACUUCGGGAAACCGGAGCUAAUACCGGAUAAUAUAUUGAACCGCAUGGUUCAAUAGUGAAAGACGGUUUUGCUGUCACUUAUAGAUGGAUCCGCGCCGCAUUAGCUAGUUGGUAAGGUAACGGCUUACCAAGGCAACGAUGCGUAGCCGACCUGAGAGGGUGAUCGGCCACACUGGAACUGAGACACGGUCCAGACUCCUACGGGAGGCAGCAGUAGGGAAUCUUCCGCAAUGGGCGAAAGCCUGGCGGAGCAACGCCGCGUGAGUGAUGAAGGUCUUCGGAUCGUAAAGCUCUGUUAUUAGGGAAGAACAAAUGUGUAAGUAACUAUGCACGUCUUGACGGUACCUAAUCAGAAAGCCACGGCUAACUACGUG
This 497-nucleotide ribosomal RNA is filed under the name uncultured bacterium. RNAcentral's name for it is "partial 16S ribosomal RNA". It matches the Rfam family "Bacterial small subunit ribosomal RNA", at positions 28 to 507 of the family's 1533-position model. The record is from RNAcentral.